GUGAGUCAUCGAAUCUUUGAACGCAUAUUGCGCUCUCUGGUAUUCCGGAGAGCAUGCUUGUUUGAGUAUCAGUAAACACCCUCAAACCCUUUCUUUUUUUUAAACAAAGAUAGGUUUUGGAUUUGAGUGAUUCCAACGCGAUUCCCUUCAAGGAUUAGUGGCGGACCACUUGAAAUGCAGGUGCAGCUGGACAUUCUUCUGAGCUCAAAGCAUAUUUAUUUAGUCCUGUCAAUACAUUUUUGUGUUGCGAAUUAUUACUUCUGCUGCAGCUAACAUAAAGGUUGAAAGUCCAAAUGCUGA
Molecule: unclassified non-coding RNA, 300 nt
Filed under: uncultured Mortierella
Lineage: Eukaryota; Fungi; Mortierellomycota; Mortierellomycetes; Mortierellales; Mortierellaceae
Description: sequence contains 5.8S rRNA gene, ITS2
Rfam family: 5.8S ribosomal RNA (bases 1-71)
Source: RNAcentral